AGAGUUUGAUCCUGGCUCAGAACGAACGCUGGCGGCGUGCUUAACACAUGCAAGUCGCACGAGAACUCUUUAGCUUGCUAAAGAUAGUAAAGUGGCGCACGGGUGAGUAACGCGUGGGUAAUCUUCCUUCAAAUUGGGGAUAACUCGCCGAAAGGCGGGCUAAUACCGAAUAACAUCUUUGAAACCUCGGUUUUGGAGAUCAAAGGUGGCCUCUAUUUAUAUGCUACUGUUUGAAGAUGAGCCCGCGUACCAUUAGCUUGUUGGUAGGGUAAUGGCCUACCAAGGCGGCGAUGGUUAGCUGGUCUGAGAGGAUGAUCAGCCACACUGGAACUGACACACGGUCCAGACUCCUACGGGAGGCAGCAGUGAGGAAUUUUGCGCAAUGGGGGAAACCCUGACGCAGCAACGCCGCGUGAGUGAUGAAGGCCUUCGGGUCGUAAAGCUCUGUCAAGUGGGAAGAAACUGAUUAAUGAUAAUACGAUUAAUCACUGACGGUACCACUGAAGGAAGCACCGGCUAACUCCGUGCCAGCAGCCGCGGUAAUACGGAGGGUGCAAGCGUUAUUCGGAAUCAUUGGGCGUAAAGGGCGCGUAGGCGGUUUUUUAAGUCUGAUGUGAAAGCCCUGGGCUCAACCCAGGAAGUGCAUUGGAAACUGUCAGACUUGAAUACGGGAGAGGGUAGUGGAAUUCCUAGUGUAGGAGUGAAAUCCGUAGAUAUUAGGAGGAACACCGGUGGCGAAGGCGGCUACCUGGACCGAUAUUGACGCUGAGACGCGAAAGCGUGGGUAGCAAACAGGAUUAGAUACCCUGGUAGUCC
RNAcentral lists this ribosomal RNA (816 nucleotides) under uncultured bacterium. RNAcentral describes it as "bacterial SSU rRNA". It matches the Rfam family "Bacterial small subunit ribosomal RNA", at positions 8 to 796 of the family's 1533-position model. The record is from RNAcentral.